CUACUUACCUGGCAGGGGAGACACCAUGAUCACGUAGGUGGUUUUCCCAGGGUGAGGCUCCGCCAUUGCACUUUGGGCUGUGCUGACCCCUGCGAUUUCCCCAAAUGCGGGAAACUCGACUGCAUAAUUUGUGGUAGUGGGGACUGCGUUCGCGCUCUCCCCU
This 163-nucleotide small nuclear RNA is filed under the name Ornithorhynchus anatinus (platypus). Its description in RNAcentral is "U1 spliceosomal RNA (ENSOANG00000039411.1)". It matches the Rfam family "U1 spliceosomal RNA". From Rfam's summary of the family: U1 is a small nuclear RNA (snRNA) component of the spliceosome (involved in pre-mRNA splicing). Its 5' end forms complementary base pairs with the 5' splice junction, thus defining the 5' donor site of an intron. The record is from RNAcentral. Lineage: Eukaryota; Metazoa; Chordata; Mammalia; Monotremata; Ornithorhynchidae.